CAUAAUCGCAUUUCUUCACAUAGUCGAGAUCCAUUGCUUCUUUCAGGGCACCAGCUUUAUACCCAUUCCUGUUGUCCCUUGAUAUGUAAUUGCAGGUGUCUGAAAGUGUAAUUUGAUGUCAUGAUGAAGAUGGAUGACAGCUCUCUUGAAAAAGAGAAAAACAAAGAAAAGAUGAUUUCAUCAGAUGACAUAGUCAUUUAUGAUGCAUCAGAAAUGCAACUUUUUGACUGCUAGUUAUGUUUUCAUUUGGAACAAGAUAUUAUUCCCCUUCAUAACUUUCCUAUGAAGGAUACACUCUACAUAGAACUUACAUUCCUUUCUUGUCAGAGGAUUUCUAAUACAUUUCAUCCAUCUAUUACGAUCUAUCUAUGCAAAACGAGCUGUUCCAGAUUAAGUUACCUCCCUCUCAUUGAACAUGGGGAUUUGGACGAGGACCAGAGGAUAGGCCAGAGAGCCGAGCUCGACAUCCUGCGACAAUGGCGCCCACUUGUAGAUCCUUUC
Long non-coding RNA from Musa acuminata subsp. malaccensis (wild Malaysian banana), 501 nucleotides. RefSeq lists it as uncharacterized. NCBI's taxonomy places the organism in Eukaryota, Viridiplantae, Streptophyta, Magnoliopsida, Zingiberales, Musaceae. The record is from RefSeq and is a predicted model, not a curated record.